Molecule: ribosomal RNA, 198 nt
Filed under: uncultured bacterium
Lineage: Bacteria
Description: partial 16S ribosomal RNA
Rfam family: Bacterial small subunit ribosomal RNA
Source: RNAcentral
GGCUGCAACUCGCCUACAUGAAGUCGGAAUCGCUAGUAAUCGCGGAUCAGCAUGCCGCGGUGAAUACGUUCCCGGGCCUUGUACACACCGCCCGUCACACCAUGAGAGUUUGUAACACCCAAAGCUGGUGGGGUAACCUUUUGGAGCCAGCCGUCUAAGGUGGGACAGAUGAUUGGGGUGAAGUCGUAACAAGGUACC